This 274-nucleotide ribosomal RNA is filed under the name uncultured bacterium. Its description in RNAcentral is "partial 16S ribosomal RNA". It matches the Rfam family "Bacterial small subunit ribosomal RNA", at positions 523 to 796 of the family's 1533-position model. The record is from RNAcentral.
AUACGAACCGGACGAACGUUAUUCGGAAUCACUGGGCUUAAAGAGUACGUAGGCGGCCUGGUAAGUUGGAUGUGAAAGCCCUCGGCCCAACCGAGGAAUUGCGUUCAAAACUACCAGACUUGAGGGAGACAGAGGUGAGCGGAACUGAUGGUGGAGCGGUGCAAUGCGUUGAUAUCAUCAGGAACACCGGUGGCGAAGGCGGCUCACUGGGUCUCUUCUGACGCUGAGGUACGAAAGCUAGGGGAGCGAACGGGAUUAGAAACCCCAGUAGUCC